UCGCUUUUCUGUAAAAAUUAUCGCUUUUCAAAGACUGUCCUUUAUAUAAUAAACAGAAAAAUACAUGGGUGCUUGGAAAUGCCAGAUUUAUUUCUCGUGUUGAACAUGAUAUCUCACUCGUUCGCUGCGCUCACUCGUGAGAUAUCAUGUUCAACACUCGAAAUAAAUCUGGUAUUUCCGCGCAUCCAUGUAUUAUUCUCU
Paramuricea clavata is the source of this 201-nucleotide non-coding RNA. NCBI's taxonomy places the organism in Eukaryota, Metazoa, Cnidaria, Anthozoa, Malacalcyonacea, Plexauridae. The record is from the annotation of a GenBank genome assembly.